This 780-nucleotide ribosomal RNA is filed under the name uncultured bacterium. Its description in RNAcentral is "bacterial SSU rRNA". It matches the Rfam family "Bacterial small subunit ribosomal RNA", at positions 56 to 829 of the family's 1533-position model. The record is from RNAcentral.
UGCAGUCGAGGGGCAGCAUAGAAGUAGCAAUACUUUGGUGGCGACCGGCGCACGGGUGAGUAACGCGUAUGCAACCUACCUAUCAGAGGGGAAUAACCCGGCGAAAGUCGGACUAAUACCGCAUAAAACAGGGGCACCGCAUGGUGAUAUUUGUUAAAGAAAUUCGCUGAUAGAUGGGCAUGCGUUCCAUUAGGUAGUUGGUGAGGUAACGGCUCACCAAGCCGACGAUGGAUAGGGGAACUGAGAGGUUGGUCCCCCACACUGGUACUGAGACACGGACCAGACUCCUACGGGAGGCAGCAGUGAGGAAUAUUGGUCAAUGGGCGAGAGCCUGAACCAGCCAAGUCGCGUGAAGGAAGAAGGAUCUAUGGUUCGUAAACUUCUUUUGCAGGGGAAUAAAGUGCAGGACGUGUCCUGUUUUGUAUGUACCCUGAGAAUAAGGAUCGGCUAACUCCGUGCCAGCAGCCGCGGUAAUACGGAGGAUCCGAGCGUUAUCCGGAUUUAUUGGGUUUAAAGGGUGCGUAGGUGGUUUGAUAAGUCAGCGGUGAAAGUUUGCAGCUUAACUGUAAAAAUGCCGUUGAAACUGUCGGACUUGAGUGUAAAUGAGGUAGGCGGAAUGCGUGGUGUAGCGGUGAAAUGCAUAGAUAUCACGCAGAACUCCGAUUGCGAAGGCAGCUUACUAAGCUACAACUGACACUGAAGCACGAAAGCGUGGGGAUCAAACAGGAUUAGAUACCCUGGUAGUCCACGCAGUAAACGAUGAUUACUAGCUGUUUGCGA